Long non-coding RNA from Oncorhynchus kisutch (coho salmon), 2172 nucleotides. RefSeq lists it as uncharacterized. The transcript has 4 exons. Lineage: Eukaryota; Metazoa; Chordata; Actinopteri; Salmoniformes; Salmonidae. The record is from RefSeq and is a predicted model, not a curated record.
CUGAAUGCUAAGGAAACGAAAACUAGCACGUGGGUUAGAUAAUUCAGUAGGCGACCUCCAAAAAAUAAUUUAUUUCAGUACUUUACUGUUAUCUUUGGUGAUUAAAAACUCAUAUUAUUGGGUAAAAAUUAGAAUGUACUAUUCAGCUUGCUAUUAAGCAGGAAGACAAGCUUUCUAAUGACGGACAAGGAAGAUGAUGACUCCCAGCACAGAGCGAAUGAGGGUGACUCCGUUGUACUGAAACGGGGAGACAUCUAACGUUACAAAGCUGCGGAUUCAAAAGAAAAAGUUAGUCGUUACACAACUGUGCUCAUGCACAAUCACAUUAUCUAUUGGUGUGCAUUAGCUAACAAUGCUUGACAGUCAGGUCAAAUAUUUGCCUGUACUACCAACAUGCAAGCUAUGUGCCCGACCUCACUAAUGCUCUUGUAGCUGAAUGGAAGCAAGUCCCAGCAUCACUGUACCAACAUCUAGUGGAAAGCCUUCCCAGAAGAGUGGAGGCUGUUAUAGCAGCAACAGGCGGACCAACUCCAUAUCAAUGACCAUGAUUUUGGAAUGAGAUGUUUGACAAGCAGGUGUCCACAUACACUACAUAACCACAAGUAUGUCAACAUUUUAUGUCAAUUCUAUCGGAACGUACUGUAAUGUUGCGUUCGUCUGGAGACACCCGAACAGACUCCAUCUUGUGUCUCUAUCCUCUCUCCUCCAAGCUAUGGGUCAGUGAUGCAGAUGUACCCAGGAGGAGGCCCUGGGAAGGCGGGGGCAGAGAGCUUUGGCUUCCCCUCCCACUUCCACGAUAUGCUCCGUGAGCUUCCCAUCUGUCAUGUCAACGCACUGCUGGCAGGGACAAUGGGCACGGAGGCUAAAUACAUAGACGUGGGUGUGGGGAAUAUAAUCCUUUGACAGACCAACAAUGCUAUACUGUCUCAUUGAAUCAAUGCUAUACUGUCUCAUUGAAUCAAUGCUAUACUGUCUCAUUGAAUCAAUGCUAUACUGUCUCAUUGAAUCAAUGCUAUACUGUCUCAUUGAAUCAAUGCUAUACUGUCUCAUUGAAUCAAUGCUAUACUGUCUCAUCUAUUGAAUUGAUUGAUGUAUUGUCACCACUCUAGAUGCUGGACAGGCCAAUGGAGAUAAGUCCAACCUGACCCAGAGAAAGCAGAAGGCAAUGGGGGCAGCCCAGACACAGAGGACCAGAGCAUGGAGACUAGUACCAGUACAGACCCUGCCGAGGACAAGGAGAGGGAGAAACAGAGAGAGAUCAGAGUAUGACAACACAUAGUGAAGCAGCAAGUUGUCUCUGUUAUUUGUCACACUUCCUGGUGCUUGUGUGCUCCAAAGAUUUCAACGGUGUACAAUUGAAGAGCAACUGUGUGUUACAUUUCAGGCCCAGGAGAAGAUGGAGAAGAGGAAGAAACUGCUGCUGCUGCAGGUUGGUGAUAGCCAGUCGGUUUAACCCCUGUCCAGUUCUACUGGGCCUCAUCAAGUUCCUCGCCCCCUCCUCCUCGACCCUUUGCAGUGUACUCUCAAUAUAAAGAGCCUCUGAUAGAUUGCUGUACAAAGCUCAGGGAACAAGGCGGAUUGGUCAGCCUUCCUGGAUCAGACAUUACCAGGUGUUGCCUAACAGGACGCACCCUGUGCUGCUGAUGAGUGGGGGCGGGGCUUACCUCCUCUCCGGGAUGACCGUUACUACAGAUACGACUAAAGCAAAGACAGGCUCAACUACAGCAGAAGAGCCGGCCACAAAGAGACGUACUCAGAGACCACAGAGAGAUGACAAUAUUGAAGGAGGCCCAGAGUUUGUCUAAUUUAAAUCAUUGAUGACGUGAUUUACAUGUACUUGUGGAGAUGGGGAUAGAAUCACUGAAGUGUGUCUCCCUCCUGCUACCAGUUCUAAACGUUCAUGGUUGUUAUUCAGCCCUGGAGCUGCUCUCCAAAGCUCUAAGCUCCCAAAUGUAUCAUUUUGUUUGUAUUUUAUAGUCUUCUAGCAGAAAGUGCCAUGAUGUAAAGCAGCCAUUUGCUAUCACAGCCUCCUUACUGUGCUGCAUUAGUGGGAAUUUCUAUAAAUACAGUACUGUUAAAAUACUAUUACUCUUGAUAACCAACUGUGUUGAGAUACGUGUUCAUUUUGGUCCCAGAAUAAUUCAUUUUAUUAAAUGCAGACUGAACAAACAA